RNAcentral lists this transfer RNA (75 nucleotides) under Acidianus brierleyi. It matches the Rfam family "tRNA". Rfam says of the family: Transfer RNA (tRNA) molecules are approximately 80 nucleotides in length. Their secondary structure includes four short double-helical elements and three loops (D, anti-codon, and T loops). The record is from Rfam by way of RNAcentral. Lineage: Archaea; Thermoproteati; Thermoproteota; Thermoprotei; Sulfolobales; Sulfolobaceae. RNAcentral also lists the same sequence under 3 other names.
GCUCCGGUAGUAUAGCCCGGUCAAGUAUGCGGGCCUCUCAAGCCCGUGGCCCGGGUUCAAAUCCCGGCCGGAGCA